UACGGAGGAUCCAAGCGUUAUCCGGAUUCAUUGGGUUUAAAGGGUGCGUAGGCGGAAUGAUAAGUCAGUGGUGAAAUCCUGCGGCUUAACUGCAGAACUGCCAUUGAUACUGUCAAUCUUGAGUAUAUUUGAUGUGGGCGGAAUGUGUCAUGUAGCGGUGAAAUGCUUAGAUAUGACACAGAACACCGAUUGCGAAGGCAGCUCACAAAACUAUAACUGACGCUGAGGCACGAACGCGUGGGGAUCAAACAGG
RNAcentral lists this ribosomal RNA (253 nucleotides) under uncultured bacterium. RNAcentral describes it as "partial 16S ribosomal RNA". It matches the Rfam family "Bacterial small subunit ribosomal RNA", at positions 524 to 776 of the family's 1533-position model. The record is from RNAcentral.